AUGAUGACGACGAUGAUGAUGAUGAUGAUGAUAAUAAUAACACUAAUAAAAAAAAAUAAAGAAACUGAUGAUGGUGAUGAUUCAGAAGAUAUGAAUAUAUCAUUCAAAAAUGAAGAUAUUUCAACAAUAAGAAAAAAAAGUGUAUCUUUUAGUUCGGAAGAAGAACAUUUUUAUGUCGAAAAAGAUGGUACACACGGUAUGCGUAAAUUGCAAAACAAAAAUAAAAAAAAAGUAGGAUUUACAAGCAUAAGUAGUGAUAAUAGUGAGAAUAUGGAAGCACAUGAUAAAGAAAAUAAAACAAUAACGGAUGUAUAUAAAGAAAAAAAAAAAAAAAAAGGUAUAACUUUUAGUAAAAAUGUCGAAGAAGAUACUGAGAAUGAACCAUUUACAGAUAGUGAUACAAAUAUGCAAAAGGAAACACAUCACAGCGAAACAGAUACAGAUACAGAAAACAAAGAAGAUAAGCUUAGUAAAACGGAUUCGGAAAACGAAAGUGAUUUAGAUACUGAAACAGAUACGGAAACAAAAAAGAUAAAUCAGAUGAUGAAUCUGGUGGGGAAUAUAUUAGUAGCGGAAAUAACAGUUCUAAUAAUAAAAGUGGAAAUAAAAAAAAAUGGAAAUUAUGAAAAUUAUGAAUGUGGUAAUAAUGAUACAGAAACUAAUAAUGAUGAUAAAUAUGACAAUAAAAAUAUGGCGAGGGGAAAUAAAAAUAAUUAUAAUAAACAAAGUGAAAUAAAAAGUAAACAAAAUAUAAAAAAACAAAAAAAUAAUUCUAUUAAAAAUAGAUCAAUGAAAGAAUCAGUUGUAGAUAACAAUAAUAUACAUUUAUUGAGAGGAGCAAGAACAAAAAAAAAACGAAUGAAAAAAAAAUAUAAAAACCAAGUGGUAGAUGAGCAGGAAAGACAACUUCAUAUGAAAAUAAUUGGAUCUAAAAAGAUGAAACACGAAGAUAAGAUAUUAGAAAAGGAAGAACAAAAUAAGAAUGGACCAGAGACAAAUAACAAAUUUAAGAAUCCCAAGACAGUUCUUAUUAAUUUGGAAGAAAUAAAUGAAGAUGAAAUGGAUAUAAAAAUGAGUGAAUUAAACAAAUUAACAUGUUCACCUAAAGAAGGAGAUAAUCUGUUAUUUGCCAUCCCAAUGUGUGCACCAUAUUCUGCUAUUCAAAAUCAUAAAUAUAAAGUAAAAAUAAUUCCUGGAACUGCGAAAAAAGGGAAAGUUGCUGAUUGUUGUGUUGCUCACUUUUUAAAAAUUUCAAAUGAUGAUAAGGAAAAGGAUUUAAUUAAAAAGAUAUCGAUGGAUGAACUAGUAAAUUGUAUCAUCUCAAAUUCAACUGCAGACAUAAAAGAACUGAAAAUUGCUGCUAAAUCGAAUUUUAUGCAUAAAAGCAAAAAAAAACAAAAAUAUUAAAUAACUAGGCACGAUGAGUUUUUAUACGUGACUUUUUUUUUUGUCGUAUGCUUUUUAUAGGAUUUAUAAUAAAACAUUUUGUAUAUAUACA
Molecule: long non-coding RNA, 1498 nt
Filed under: Piliocolobus tephrosceles (Ugandan red Colobus)
Lineage: Eukaryota; Metazoa; Chordata; Mammalia; Primates; Cercopithecidae
Description: lncRNA (ENSPTEG00000008297.1)
Source: RNAcentral